RNAcentral lists this long non-coding RNA (1098 nucleotides) under Homo sapiens (human). Its description in RNAcentral is "HSALNT0339411". The record is from RNAcentral. Lineage: Eukaryota; Metazoa; Chordata; Mammalia; Primates; Hominidae.
CCCACCCUCAUCCCGGCACGUGAUGACGUAGGACGUAAGGACGCCCCCCCCCGCCGGUAGCCAUCUUCGUGCAUAGGCAAACUUAUUGUAGCUAGACUGUACAAAGUAUAUCAAGAUAUGCCAAAUAUUGAGCUUAACUUCACCUGUUUGAGAGACGGUGUUUCUUUUAGCUUGCAACACCAUGAAAAAAUUACUGAGACACUAGGAAUGCUGUGAACUGAGAAAGUUUGGGACCUUUGGCAUAACUAAAUCCUUCAUUUAACAGAUGGAGUCUCAGUCUGUCACUAAGGCUGGAGUGCAGUGGCGCGAUCUCGGCUCACUGCAACCUCCACCUCCCGGGUUCACGCGAUUCUCCAGCCUCAGCCUUCCACGUAGCUGGGACUACAGGUGCAUGCCACCACACCCAGUGUUGUGAACCACUUGUCAUGGGAUAACCAAAAUUAAACCUGGAAUCGCAGAAGAAACAAAUUUUUUGAAGAAAUUGGAUGUACUUUUUUAAAAUUUUUCAUUCAACUAAAACUUUGUUAACUGUUUCUUGGUUGUGGUCUUCUCUAAAUUGUAAUCUUUGGCAUUCACUUCCAAAGUAUCCACCACUAAACUUCAUAACAUUUAUUGUGUCUCUUCAUCAUUAAACUUUGAUGAAUUUACAGAGUGUCUUUUGAAAUUAUGUUCUUGAGAAAGCCAGGGGAUUGGACGGUGUCAUGGAAAUGUCAAAGAAAAAGUGACACCUGAGAGAAAAUUUGAAAGAUGAAAGGUGCACAUCAUGGAGACAAUCUGACUGGUACAGAGAAAUGAAGAGACAACAUUUUCUUUCCAAAUCUGAGUGGAGAUGAAGAUUCCUGAAACAACAAUCAAAAGGAACUUUGGACUCUGACUGAGGACACAUCCAGCAAUGGCAAAGCACUCUAGCCACUGCCCAGACCCAUGGAAACUUCAGGAAGAGGCAGUUUAGUGCUUCUGGUAGUUGUCUAAUCAAGAUUAGGACUCUUAUUUAUCAUCUUCCUCUGGCAUUUUUGCACCAGUCUUCAGGUUUUAGCAUAGUAAAUAUGUUCCAGUCUGUGAAAUCUCUCUGUUUUAUUCCAAAUAAAUAAAAAAGCA